ACGAUCAUGGCUCAGAUUGAACGCUGGCGGGAUGCUUUACACAUGCAAGUCGAACGGCAGCACGGACUUCGGUCUGGUGGCGAGUGGCGAACAGGUGAGUAAUGUAUCGGAACGUGCCUAGUAGCGGGGGAUAACUGCAUGGCCCGUAGCUAAUACCACAUACGCCCUUCGGGGAAAGCGGGGACCUUCGGGCCUCGCACUAUUAGAGCGGCCGAUAUCGGAUUAGCUAGUUGGUGGGGUAACGGCUCACCAAGGCGACGAUCCGUAGCUGGUUUGAAGGACAGCCAGCCACACUGGGACUGAGACACGGCCCAGACUCCUACGGGGAGGCAGCAGUGGGGAAUUUUGGACAAUGGAAACUGAUCCAGCCAUCCCGCGUGUGCGAUGAAGGCCUUCGGGUUGUAAAGCACUUUUUUGGCAGGAAAGAAACGGCACGGGAUAAUACCCCGUGCAACUGACGGUACCUGCAGAAUAAGCACCGGCUAACUACGUGCCAGCAGCCGCGGUAAUACGUAGGGUGCAAGCGUUAAUCAGGAAUUACUGGGCGUAAAGCGUGCGCAGGCGGUUCGGAAAGAAAGAUGUGAAAUCCCAGAGCUUAACUUUGGAACUGCAUUUUUAACUACCGAGCUAGAGUGUGUCAGGGAGGUGGAAUUCCGCGUGUAGCAGUGAAAUGCGUAGAUGUGCGGAGGAACACCGAUGGCAGAAGGCAGCCUCCUGGAUAACACUGACGCUCAUGCGAAAGCGUGGGGAGCAAACAGAGUUAGAUACCCUGGUAGUCCACGCCCUAAACGAUGUCAACUAGCUGUUGGGGCCUUCGGGCCUUGGUAGCGCAGCUAACGCGUGAAGUUGACCGCCUGGGAGAGUACGGUCGCAAGAUUAAAGCUCAAAGGAAUUGACGGGGACCCGCACAAGCGGUGGAUGAUGUGGAUUAAUUCGAUGCAACGCGAAAACCUUACCUACCCUUGACAUGUCUGGAAUCCCGAAGAGAUUUGGGAGUGCUCGCAAGAGAACCGGAACACAGGUGCUGCAUGGCUGUCGUCAGCUCGUGUCGUGGAUGUUGGGUUAAGUCCCACCAGCAGGCGCAACCCUUGUCAUUAGUUGCUACGAAGGGCACUCUAAUGAGACUGCCGGUGACAAACCGGAGGAAGGUGGGGAUGACGUCAAGUCCCUCCCGCCAGCCCCCUUAUGGGUAGGGCUUCACACGUCAUACAAUGGUCGGGACAGAGGGUCGCCAACCCGCGAGGGGUAAUCCCAGAAACCCGAUCGUAGUCGGAUCGCAGUCUGCAACUCGACUGCGUGAAGUCAGGAAUCGCUAGUAAUCGCGGAUCAGCAUGUCGCGGUGAAUACGUUCGGGUCUUGUACACACCGUCACACCAUGGGAGUGGGUUUUUCAAGUAGUUAGCUAACCGUAAGGAGGGCGAUUACCACGGUAAGUUCAUGACUGGGGUGAAGUCGUAACAAAGGUAA
RNAcentral lists this ribosomal RNA (1467 nucleotides) under uncultured Bordetella sp. RNAcentral describes it as "partial 16S-23S ribosomal RNA intergenic spacer". It matches the Rfam family "Bacterial small subunit ribosomal RNA". The record is from RNAcentral. Lineage: Bacteria; Pseudomonadati; Pseudomonadota; Betaproteobacteria; Burkholderiales; Alcaligenaceae.